Molecule: transfer RNA, 67 nt
Filed under: Trialeurodes vaporariorum (greenhouse whitefly)
Lineage: Eukaryota; Metazoa; Arthropoda; Insecta; Hemiptera; Aleyrodidae
Description: tRNA-Gln
Source: RNAcentral
UUAAGUUAAGUAAUAAAAUGCACAAGCUUUUGAUGCUUGUUUGGUUAAUUAAAUUUAACAACUUAAA